UACAGAGGUGUCAAACGUUGUCCGGAAUUACUGGGCGUAAAGGGCGCGUAGGCGGUCCUAUAAGUCAGAUGUGAAAGCUCCGGGCUCAACCCGGGAAUUGCAUCUGAUACUGUAGGACUUGAGUUCGGUAGAGGAGGGCGGAAUUCCAGGUGUAGCGGUGAAAUGCGUAGAUAUCGAGAGGAACACCUGCGGCGAAGGCGGGUUGCUGGGCUGACACUGACGCUGAGGCGCGAAAGCUAGGGGAGCAAACGGG
This 253-nucleotide ribosomal RNA is filed under the name uncultured prokaryote. RNAcentral's name for it is "partial 16S ribosomal RNA". It matches the Rfam family "Bacterial small subunit ribosomal RNA", at positions 524 to 776 of the family's 1533-position model. The record is from RNAcentral.